RNAcentral lists this ribosomal RNA (520 nucleotides) under uncultured Glomus. RNAcentral's name for it is "SSU rRNA". It matches the Rfam family "Eukaryotic small subunit ribosomal RNA", at positions 569 to 1096 of the family's 1831-position model. Lineage: Eukaryota; Fungi; Glomeromycota; Glomeromycetes; Glomerales; Glomeraceae. The record is from RNAcentral.
AGCAGCCGUGGUAAUUCCAGCUCCAAUAGCGUGUAUUAAAGUUGUUGCAGUUAAAAAGCUCGUAGUUGAAUUUCGAGACCGGUUUACUGGUCGUGCUUUUGUACGUACUGGUAUAAUCAGUUUCUCUCUUUUGACGAACUAUAAUGCUAUUAAUUUGGUGUUUUAGGGAAUCAGGACUGUUACUUUGAAAAAAUUAGAGUGUUUAAAGCAGGCUCACGCUUGAAUACAUUAGCAUGGAAUAACGAAAUAGGACGUUUGAUUUUAUUUUGUUGGUUUCUAGGAUCGACGUAAUGAUUAAUAGGGAUAGUUGGGGGCAUUAGUAUUCAAUUGUCAGAGGUAAAAUUCUUGGAUUUAUUGAAGACUAACUACUGCGAAAGCAUUUGCCAAGGAUGUUUUCAUUAAUCAAGAACGAAAGUUAAGGAUCGAAGACGAUCAGAUACCGUCGUAGUCUUAACCAUAAACUAUGCCGACUAGGGAUCGGAUGAUGUUAAAUUAUGACUCAUUCGGCACCUUACGGGAA